This 514-nucleotide ribosomal RNA is filed under the name uncultured bacterium. RNAcentral describes it as "partial 16S ribosomal RNA". It matches the Rfam family "Bacterial small subunit ribosomal RNA", at positions 28 to 523 of the family's 1533-position model. The record is from RNAcentral.
GACGAACGCUGGCGGCGUGCCUAAUACAUGCAAGUCGAGCGAACAGAGAAGGAGCUUGCUCCUUUGACGUUAGCGGCGGACGGGUGAGUAACACGUGGGCAACCUACCUUAUAGUUUGGGAUAACUCCGGGAAACCGGGGCUAAUACCGAAUAAUCUGUUUCACCUCAUGGUGAAAUAUUGAAAGACGGUUUCGGCUGUCGCUAUAGGAUGGGCCCGCGGCGCAUUAGCUAGUUGGGGAGGUAACGGCUCACCAAGGCGACGAUGCGUAGCCGACCUGAGAGGGUGAUCGGCCACACUGGGACUGAGACACGGCCCAGACUCCUACGGGAGGCAGCAGUAGGGAAUCUUCCACAAUGGGCGAAAGCCUGAUGGAGCAACGCCGCGUGAGUGAAGAAGGAUUUCGGUUCGUAAAACUCUGUUGUAAGGGAAGAACAAGUACAGUAGUAACUGGCUGUACCUUGACGGUACCUUAUUAGAAAGCCACGGCUAACUACGUGCCAGCCGCCGCGGUAA